CCUACGGGCGGCUGCAGUGGGGAAUAUUGCACAAUGGGGGAAACCCUGAUGCAGCAACGCCGCGUGAAGGAAGACGGUUUUCGGAUUGUAAACUUCUGUUCUUAGUGAAGAAUAAUGACGUUAGCUAAGGAGCACGCCACGGCUAACUACGUGCCAGCAGCCGCGGUAAUACGUAGGGGGCAAGCGUUAUCCGGAUUUACUGGGUGUAAAGGGAGCGUAGACGGCAGUGCAAGUCUGGAGUGAAAGGCGGGGGCUCAACCCCCGGACUGCUCUGGAAACUGUACGGCUGGAGUGAAGUAGAGGUUGGCGGAAUUCCGAGUGUAGCGAUGAAAUGCGUAGAUAUUAGGAGGAACACCAGUGGCGAAGGCGGCCUACUGGACGGUGACUGACGCUGAGGCUCGAAAGCGUGGGGAGCAAACAGGAUUAGAUACCCGGGUAGUC
This 441-nucleotide ribosomal RNA is filed under the name uncultured bacterium. RNAcentral describes it as "partial 16S ribosomal RNA". It matches the Rfam family "Bacterial small subunit ribosomal RNA", at positions 338 to 795 of the family's 1533-position model. The record is from RNAcentral.